UGCUAUACAUGCAGUCGAGCGCGGGAAGUCAGGGAAGCCUUCGGGUGGAACUGGUGGAACGAGCGGCGGAUGGGUGAGUAACACGUAGGUAACCUGCCCUAAAGCGGGGGAUACCAUCUGGAAACAGGUGCUAAUACCGCAUAACCCCAGCAGUCACAUGAGUGCUGGUUGAAAGACGGCUUCGGCUGUCACUUUAGGAUGGACCUGCGGCGUAUUAGCUAGUUGGUGGAGUAACGGUUCACCAAGGCGAUGAUACGUAGCCGACCUGAGAGGGUAAUCGGCCACAUUGGGACUGAGACACGGCCCAAACUCCUACGGGAGGCAGCAGUAGGGAAUCUUCCACAAUGGACGCAAGUCUGAUGGAGCAACGCCGCGUGGAUGAAGAAGGUCUUCGGAUCGUAAAAUCCUGUUGUUGAAGAAGAACGGUUGUGAGAGUAACUGCUCAUAACGUGACGGUAAUCAACCAGAAAGUCACGGCUAACUACGUGCCAGCAGCCGCGGUAAUACGUAGGUGGCAAGCGUUGUCCGGAUUUAUUGGGCGUAAAGGGAGCGCAGGCGGUCUUUUAAGUCUGAAUGUGAAAGCCCUCAGCUUAACUGAGGAAGAGCAUCGGAAACUGAGAGACUUGAGUGCAGAAGAGGAGAGUGGAACUCCAUGUGUAGCGGUGAAAUGCGUAGAUAUAUGGAAGAACACCAGUGGCGAAGGCGGCUCUCUGGUCUGUUACUGACGCUGAGGCUCGAAAGCAUGGGUAGCGAACAGGAUUAGAUACCCUGGUAGUCCAUGCCGUAAACGAUGAGUGCUAAGUGUUGGGAGGUUUCCGCCUCUCAGUGCUGCAGCUAACGCAUUAAGCACUCCGCCUGGGGAGUACGACCGCAAGGUUGAAACUCAAAGGAAUUGACGGGGGCCCGCACAAGCGGUGGAGCAUGUGGUUUAAUUCGAAGCAACGCGAAGAACCUUACCAGGUCUUGACAUCUCCUGCAAGCCUAAGAGAUUAGGGGUUCCCUUCGGGACAGGAAGAC
Molecule: ribosomal RNA, 1017 nt
Filed under: Lactobacillus sp. Amsbbr2
Lineage: Bacteria; Bacillati; Bacillota; Bacilli; Lactobacillales; Lactobacillaceae
Description: bacterial SSU rRNA
Rfam family: Bacterial small subunit ribosomal RNA
Source: RNAcentral